UACAUGGGGUGCAAACGUUGCUCGGAAUCAUUGGGCGUAAAGCGCACGUAGGCGGUUCGUUAUGUCGGAUGUGAAAGCCCUUGGCUUAACCGAGGAAGUGCAUCCGAAACUGGCGAGCUAGAGUACGAAAGAGGAUCGCGGAAUUCCCGGUGUAGAGGUGAAAUGCGUAGAUAUCGGGAGGAACACCGGUGGCGAAGGCGGCGAUCUGGGUCGAUACUGACGCUGAGGUGCGAAAGCGUGGGGAGCAAACAGG
Molecule: ribosomal RNA, 253 nt
Filed under: uncultured bacterium
Lineage: Bacteria
Description: partial 16S ribosomal RNA
Rfam family: Bacterial small subunit ribosomal RNA
Source: RNAcentral